AGAUACCAGCUGGCUGCAACUGUUUAUUAAAAACACAGCACUGUGCAAACACGAAAGUGGACGUAUACGGUGUGACGCCUGCCCGGUGCCGGAAGGUUAAUUGAUGGGGUUAUCCGUAAGGAGAAGCUCUUGAUCGAAGCCCCGGUAAACGGCGGCCGUAACUAUAACGGUCCUAAGGUAGCGAAAUUCCUUGUCGGGUAAGUUCCGACCUGCACGAAUGGCGUAAUGAUGGCCAGGCUGUCUCCACCCGAGACUCAGUGAAAUUGAACUCGCUGUGAAGAUGCAGUGUACCCGCGGCAAGACGGAAAGACCCCGUGAACCUUUACUAUAGCUUGACACUGAACACUGGUCCUUGAUGUGUAGGAUAGGUGGGAGGCUUUGAAGUGUGGACGCCAGUCUGCAUGGAGCCAUCCUUGAAAUACCACCCUUUAAUGGCUGGUGUUCUAACGUGGACCCGUUACCCGGGUUGCGGACAGUGUCUGGUGGGUAGUUUGACUGGGGCGGUCUCCUCCUAAAGAGUAACGGAGGAGCACGAAGGUUAGCUAAUCCUGGUCGGACAUCAGGAGGUUAGUGCAAAGGCAUAAGCUAGCUUGACUGCGAGAGUGACGGCUCGAGCAGGUGCGAAAGCAGGUCUUAGUGAUCCGGUGGUUCUGAAUGGAAGGGCCAUCGCUCAACGGAUAAAAGGUACUCCGGGGAUAACAGGCUGAUACCGCCCAAGAGUUCAUAUCGACGGCGGUGUUUGGCACCUCGAUGUCGGCUCAUCACAUCCUGGGGCUGAAGUAGGUCCCAAGGGUAUGGCUGUUCGCCAUUUAAAGUGGUACGCGAGCUGGGUUUAGAACGUCGUGAGACAGUUCGGUCCCUAUCUGCCGUGGGCGCUGGAGAAUUGAGGGGGGCUGCUCCUAGUACGAGAGGACCGGAGUGGACGCAUCACUGGUGUUCGGGUUGUCAUGCCAAUGGCAUUGCCCGGUAGCUAAAUGCGGAAGAGAUAAGUGCUGAAAGCAUCUAAGCACGAAACUUGCCCCG
This 1023-nucleotide ribosomal RNA is filed under the name Citrobacter freundii. RNAcentral describes it as "partial 23S ribosomal RNA". It matches the Rfam family "Bacterial large subunit ribosomal RNA", at positions 1781 to 2801 of the family's 2925-position model. The record is from RNAcentral. Lineage: Bacteria; Pseudomonadati; Pseudomonadota; Gammaproteobacteria; Enterobacterales; Enterobacteriaceae.